GCCCGCUCAGAAACUCAAAGGAUUGACGGGGGCCCGCACAAGCGGUGGAGUAUGUGGUUUAAUUCGAAGCAACGCGAAGAACCUUACCAGGCCUUGACAUGCAGAGAACUUUCCAGAGAUGGAUUGGUGCCUUCGGGAACUCUGACACAGGUGCUGCAUGGCUGUCGUCAGCUCGUGUCGUGAGAUGUUGGGUUAAGUCCCGCAACGAGCGCAACCCUUGCCUUUAGUUGCCAGCAGUUCGGCUGGGCACUCUAAAGGGACUGCCGGUGUUAAACCGGAGGAAGGUGGGGAUGACGUCAAGUCCUCAUGGCCUUUAUGACCAGGGCUACACACGUACUACAAUGGCCGAUACAAAGGGCAGCGACACUGCGAGGUGAAGCCAAUCCCGUAAAAUCGGUCUCAGUCCGGAUUGGAGUCUGCAACUCGACUCCAUGAAGUUGGAAUCGCUAGUAAUCGUGGAUCCAGCAUGCCACGGUGAAUACGUUCCCGGGCCUU
This 495-nucleotide ribosomal RNA is filed under the name uncultured Desulfobulbus sp. Its description in RNAcentral is "bacterial SSU rRNA". It matches the Rfam family "Bacterial small subunit ribosomal RNA", at positions 887 to 1382 of the family's 1533-position model. The record is from RNAcentral. Lineage: Bacteria; Pseudomonadati; Thermodesulfobacteriota; Desulfobulbia; Desulfobulbales; Desulfobulbaceae.